This 253-nucleotide ribosomal RNA is filed under the name uncultured bacterium. Its description in RNAcentral is "partial 16S ribosomal RNA". It matches the Rfam family "Bacterial small subunit ribosomal RNA", at positions 524 to 776 of the family's 1533-position model. The record is from RNAcentral.
UACGAAGGGGGCUAGCGUUGCUCGGAAUGACUGGGCGUAAAGGGCGCGUAGGCGGCUCAUACAGUCAGGCGUGAAAUUCCUGGGCUCAACCUGGGGACUGCGGUUGAGACGUGUGGGCUUGAGUGGGGAAGAGGGUCGUGGAAUUCCCAGUGUAGAGGUGAAAUUCGUAGAUAUUGGGAAGAACACCGGUGGCGAAGGCGGCGACCUGGUCCAUGACUGACGCUGAGGCGCGAAAGCGUGGGGAGCAAACAGG